This 497-nucleotide ribosomal RNA is filed under the name uncultured bacterium. RNAcentral describes it as "partial 16S ribosomal RNA". It matches the Rfam family "Bacterial small subunit ribosomal RNA", at positions 28 to 507 of the family's 1533-position model. The record is from RNAcentral.
GAUGAACGCUGGCGGCGUGCCUAAUACAUGCAAGUCGAGCGAACAGACGAGGAGCUUGCUCCUCUGACGUUAGCGGCGGACGGGUGAGUAACACGUGGAUAACCUACUUAUAAGACUGGGAUAACUUCGGGAAACCGGAGCUAAUACCGGAUAAUAUAUUGAACCGCAUGGUUCAAUAGUGAAAUACGGUUUUGCUGUCACUUAUAGAUGGAUCCGCGCCGCAUUAGCUAGUUGGUAAGGUAACGGCUUAUCAAGGCAACGAUGCGUAGCCGACCUGAGAGGGUGAUCGGCCACACGGGAACUGAGACACGGUCCAGACUCCUACGGGAGGCAGCAGUAGGGAAUCUGCCGCAAUGGGCGAAAGCUUGACGGAGCAACGCCGCGUGAGUGAUGAAGGUCUUCGGAUCGUAAAACUCGGUUAUUAGUGAAGAACAAAUGUGUAAGUAACUAUGCACGUCUUGACGGUACCUAAUCAGAAAGCCACGGCUAACUACGUG